RNAcentral lists this ribosomal RNA (419 nucleotides) under bacterium. RNAcentral describes it as "partial 16S ribosomal RNA". It matches the Rfam family "Bacterial small subunit ribosomal RNA", at positions 355 to 776 of the family's 1533-position model. The record is from RNAcentral.
UGGGGGAUAUUGCACAAUGGGCGAAAGCCUGAUGCAGCGACGCCGCGUGGGGGAUGAAGGCCUUCGGGUUGUAAACUUCUUUUGCUCUGAACAAGGCGCACCAUGGGGUGUGUUGAGUGUAGGGGUUGAUUAGCGCCGGCUAACUACGUGCCAGCAGCCGCGGUAAUACGUAGGGCGCGAGCGUUGUCCGGAAUUAUUGGGCGUAAAGGGCUUGUAGGUGGCUGGUUGCGUCUGUCGUGAAAGCUCAUGGCUUAACUGUGGGUGUGCGGUGGGUACGGGCUGGCUUGAGUGCAGUAGGGGAGGCUGGAAUUCCUGGUGUAGCGGUGGAAUGCGCAGAUAUCAGGAGGAAUACCGGUGGCGAAGGCGGGUCUCUGGGCUGUUACUGACACUGAGGAGCGAAAGCAUGGGGAGCGAACAGG